This 472-nucleotide ribosomal RNA is filed under the name uncultured bacterium. RNAcentral's name for it is "bacterial SSU rRNA". It matches the Rfam family "Bacterial small subunit ribosomal RNA", at positions 335 to 799 of the family's 1533-position model. The record is from RNAcentral.
ACUCCUACGGGAGGCAGCAGUGGGGAAUAUUGCACAAUGGGCGCAAGCCUGAUGCAGCCAUGCCGCGUGUAUGAAGAAGGCCUUCGGGUUGUAAAGUACUUUCAGCAGUGAGGAAGGUGGGUAUGUUAAUAGCAUACUCAUUUGACGUUAGCUGCAGAAGAAGCACCGGCUAACUCCGUGCCAGCAGCCGCGGUAAUACGGAGGGUGCGAGCGUUAAUCGGAAUUACUGGGCGUAAAGCGCAUGCAGGUGGUUUGUUAAGUCAGAUGUGAAAGCCCGGGGCUCAACCUCGGAAUUGCAUUUGAAACUGGCAAACUAGAGUACUGUAGAGGGGGGUAGAAUUUCAGGUGUAGCGGUGAAAUGCGUAGAGAUCUGAAGGAAUACCGGUGGCGAAGGCGGCCCCCUGGACAGAUACUGACACUCAGAUGCGAAAGCGUGGGGAGCAAACAGGAUUAGAUACCCUGGUAGGCAUAG